Molecule: ribosomal RNA, 212 nt
Filed under: uncultured bacterium
Lineage: Bacteria
Description: partial 16S ribosomal RNA
Rfam family: Bacterial small subunit ribosomal RNA
Source: RNAcentral
UGGGUAACCUGCCUCAAAGAGGGGAAUAGCCUCCCGAAAAGGGGAGAUUAAUACCGCAUAAUAUGUUUAGGUCGCAUGACUUUAACAUCAAAGGAUUUUCUUUUAGAAAUUCCACUUUGAGAUGGACCCGCGGCGCAUUAGCUAGUUGGUGAGGUAACGGCUCACCAAGGCAACGAUGCGUAGCCGACCUGAGAGGNNNGUCGCAUGUAGAC